GGUACAGCGCCGGGGAUGAACGGAUAACUCUGAUGACGUUAACUACGAGAACUAUUUCUCCUGUACCU
This 68-nucleotide transfer RNA is filed under the name Arctonoe vittata. Its description in RNAcentral is "tRNA-Ile". The record is from RNAcentral. Lineage: Eukaryota; Metazoa; Annelida; Polychaeta; Phyllodocida; Polynoidae.